GGAAAGAGGAAAAAAAAGAAAAAUUAGAGAGUCGUGGUUUUGAAAAGAAGAGACCCAGGUUGAGAAACGGGGAAGGAAGCUCUCAUAGACGUUUAUCGUACAGAAAGCAUUAUCAGAGUAACUCGUAAACCCAUUUUGGUAUAUAUUAUAUGCAUGAAUCAAUGGGUUGAUAAUCCACCAUGUAUCAUUUGGUUGAAUCCGAGGCUCGUUGCUGCCUUACAACUGGUCAUUUAAGCAUUGAAAAUGGAAGCAAUGGUGAAAAAAUUUCAAUCAAAAUUCAGAAAAGUUAGGGAAGAAAUGAAUAAAUGGGAGGAGCUUCAAUCUCGGUUACUUUCACAGUUUAGGAAUGCUUCCCAUAUUGUUGAUAGGUUGCAGGUGCUUCAAAAUUCCAACAAUUAUGGUAUUCUAAAUUGUGUCAGCGGAAUGAAAGAUGCUCUUUUGGCAAAGCAGAUUGAAUCAUUGGAGAACAUUUUGGUUUCCAUGAGAAGGACUCUGGAAGAAUUUCAUUGUAUUGUCUUAUCUCUUGAGAAAAUUCAUCGUGAUGGUAGACAACUAGUGAAAGGCAGUUCUUCUCAACCGACCAUGAAACAAUUACAGCAGCGAGUUGGCAUCAAACCUAGACUUAUUGAUUGCUUGGAUGGCCUGUUGUUUCUACAUGAGAUGCACAAUGCAGAGUAUUUGUUAAAAUCAUCAGUGGUCUCAGCACUAUCAGCAAUGGCCUUAAAACCCAGUGCCAGCGAUCUUGGUGCACUUCAGCAACUCUUGGUUGAUCAACCCAAUCUCCCUACUGAGGAAGUUCAAUUUAUAUUUGAUAUAAUAUUUGCUGAAGAGCUGUGAUGAUGAUCCUCUAUUAUGGAUAUUGACUUUGUACCUGGGAAUGCUUGAGCUUUUGUGCAUCAAGGGAGUCUUUUGAUCUUACAGGCAUGACCUGUCGAUGCGGCAUGAUUGUUGAUGCAGAACGGAUUAAGAUAAUUGAUGUCACUUUUACUUGCAAGUUAUGAAUUUUAUGGAUUCAAUGUUUUGGAAUUCUUUGGGCACGGGAGGAUUUGAUUCUUAUGGGAAGGAGUUGCUAGGCUUCUAAUUUCAUAUAAAGAAAGGAGCACUCUGUUCUCAAUUGGCUUUCAGUUUCCAACUAUUUUUAUUGGAGACCAGUUUAUGUGUGUUUUUCAAAUUUUUGAAUGUGUCCUUUAGCUCAUAUUGUUUAUAUAUUAUUUUUCUUUUUGG
This is an RNA transcript of Gastrolobium bilobum, 1224 nucleotides long. RefSeq lists it as uncharacterized. NCBI's taxonomy places the organism in Eukaryota, Viridiplantae, Streptophyta, Magnoliopsida, Fabales, Fabaceae. The record is from RefSeq and is a predicted model, not a curated record. The transcript has 8 exons.